AUUGAACGCUGGCGGCAGGCCUAACACAUGCAAGUCGAGCGGCAGCGACUUAACUGAACCUUCGGGGAAUGUUAAGGGCGGCGAGCGGCGGACGGGUGAGUAAUGCCUGGGAAUAUGCCCUGAUGUGGGGGAUAACUAUUGGAAACGAUAGCUAAUACCGCAUAAUCUCUUCGGAGCAAAGAGGGGGACCUUCGGGCCUCUCGCGUCAGGAUUAGCCCAGGUGGGAUUAGCUUGUUGGUGAGGUAAUGGCUCACCAAGGCAACGAUCCCUAGCUGGUCUGAGAGGAUGAUCAGCCACACUGGAACUGAGACACGGUCCAGACUCCUACGGGAGGCAGCAGUGGGGAAUAUUGCACAAUGGGGGAAACCCUGAUGCAGCCAUGCCGCGUGUGUGAAGAAGGCCUUCGGGUUGUAAAGCACUUUCAGUAGGGAGGAAGGUAGUGUAGUUAACACCUGCAUUAUUUGACGUUACCUACAGAAGAAGCACCGGCUAACUCCGUGCCAGCAGCCGCGGUAAUACGGAGGGUGCGAGCGUUAAUCGGAAUUACUGGGCGUAAAGCGCAUGCAGGCGGCCUGUUAAGUCAGAUGUGAAAGCCCGGGGCUUAACCUCGGAAUUGCAUUUGAAACUGGCAGGCUAGAGUCUUGUAGAGGGGGGUAGAAUUUCAGGUGUAGCGGUGAAAUGCGUAGAGAUCUGAAGGAAUACCAGUGGCGAAGGCGGCCCCCUGGACAAAGACUGACGCUCAGAUGCGAAAGCGUGGGGAGCAAACAGG
This 769-nucleotide ribosomal RNA is filed under the name uncultured bacterium. RNAcentral's name for it is "bacterial SSU rRNA". It matches the Rfam family "Bacterial small subunit ribosomal RNA", at positions 28 to 776 of the family's 1533-position model. The record is from RNAcentral.